AGAGUUUGAUCAUGGCUCAGAUUGAACGCUGGCGGCAUGCUUUACACAUGCAAGUCGAGCGGCAGCGCGGGGGCAACCCUGGCGGCGAGCGGCGAACGGGUGAGUAAUGCAUCGGAACGUGUCCAGAAGUGGGGGAUAACCCGGCGAAAGCCGGGCUAAUACCGCAUAUUCUCCACGGAGGAAAGCGGGGGAUCGCAAGACCUCGCGCUUUUGGAGCGGCCGAUGCCCGAUUAGCUUGUUGGUGGGGUAAUGGCCUACCAAGGCGACGAUCGGUAGCUGGUCUGAGAGGAUGAUCAGCCACACUGGGACUGAGACACGGCCCAGACUCCUACGGGAGGCAGCAGUGGGGAAUUUUGGACAAUGGGGGAAACCCUGAUCCAGCCAUGCCGCGUGCGGGAAGAAGGCCUUCGGGUUGUAAACCGCUUUUAGCUGGGAAGAAAAGAUCACGGAUAACACCCGUGGUUCUUGACGGUACCGGCGGAAUAAGCACCGGCUAACUACGUGCCAGCAGCCGCGGUAAUACGUAGGGUGCGAGCGUUAAUCGGAAUUACUGGGCGUAAAGCGUGCGUAGGCGGUUCGUUGUGUCUGUGGUGAAAGCCCCGGGCUUAACCUGGGAAUUGCCAUGGAAACUGGCGAGCUUGAGUGUGGCAGAGGGGGGUGGAAUUCCGCGUAGCAGUGAAAUGCGUAGAGAUGCGGAGGAACACCGAUGGCGAAGGCAGCCCCCUGGGCUAGCACUGACGCUCAGGCACGAAAGCGUGGGGAGCAAACAGGAUUAGAUACCCUAGUAGUCC
Molecule: ribosomal RNA, 791 nt
Filed under: uncultured bacterium
Lineage: Bacteria
Description: bacterial SSU rRNA
Rfam family: Bacterial small subunit ribosomal RNA
Source: RNAcentral